GGACCCGUGGUCUAGCUGGUCAUGACGCUGCCUUCACACGGCAGAGAUCGGGCGUUCGAAUCGCCCCGAGUCCA
This 74-nucleotide transfer RNA is filed under the name Methanomicrobium antiquum. RNAcentral describes it as "tRNA-Val". It matches the Rfam family "tRNA". Rfam says of the family: Transfer RNA (tRNA) molecules are approximately 80 nucleotides in length. Their secondary structure includes four short double-helical elements and three loops (D, anti-codon, and T loops). Lineage: Archaea; Methanobacteriati; Methanobacteriota; Methanomicrobia; Methanomicrobiales; Methanomicrobiaceae. RNAcentral also lists the same sequence under 1 other name. The record is from RNAcentral.